RNAcentral lists this ribosomal RNA (448 nucleotides) under uncultured soil bacterium. Its description in RNAcentral is "bacterial SSU rRNA". It matches the Rfam family "Bacterial small subunit ribosomal RNA", at positions 26 to 518 of the family's 1533-position model. The record is from RNAcentral.
AGAACGAACGCUGGCGGCAUGCCUAAUACAUGCAAGUCGAACGAACUCUUCGGAGUUAGUGGCGCACGGGUGCGUAACGCGUGGGAAUCUGCCCUUGGGUUCGGAAUAACAGUUGGAAACGACUGCUAAUACCGGAUGAUGACGAAAGUCCAAAGAUUUAUCGCCCAGGGAUGAGCCCGCGUAGGAUUAGCUAGUUGGUGAGGUAAAGGCUCACCAAGGCGACGAUCCAUAGCUGGUCUGAGAGGAUGAUCAGCCACAUUGGGACUGAGACACGGCCCAAACUCCUACGGGAGGCAGCAGUGGGGAAUAUUGGACAAUGGGCGCAAGGCCUGAUCCAGCCAUGCCGCGUGAGUGAUGAAGGCCCUAGGGUGUAAAGCUCUUUCACCGGUGAAGAUAAUGACGGUAACCGGAGAAGAAGCCCCGGACUAACUUCGUGCCAGCCAGCCGC